RNAcentral lists this ribosomal RNA (253 nucleotides) under uncultured bacterium. RNAcentral describes it as "partial 16S ribosomal RNA". It matches the Rfam family "Bacterial small subunit ribosomal RNA", at positions 524 to 776 of the family's 1533-position model. The record is from RNAcentral.
GACGAAGGAUGCAAGCGUUAUCCGGAUUCAUUGGGUUUAAAGGGAGCGUAGGCGGCCUUAUAAGUCAGUGGUGAAAUCUCCUCGCUUAACGAGGAAAUUGCCAUUGAUACUGUAGGGCUUGAGUACAGUUGCCGUUGGCGGAAUAUGGCAUGUAGUGGUGAAAUACAUAGAGAUGUCAUAGAACACCGAUUGCGAAGGCAGCUAACGAAACUGUAACUGACGCUGAGGCUCGAAAGUGCGGGGAUCAAACAGG